AUAUGGCUCAGGAUGAACGCUAGCUACAGGCUUAACACAUGCAAGUCGAGGGGAAACGACAUCGAAAGCUUGCUUUUGAUGGGCGUCGACCGGCGCACGGGUGAGUAACGCGUAUCCAACCUGCCCACCACUUGGGGAUAACCUUGCGAAAGUAAGACUAAUACCCAAUGACAUCCCACGAAGACAUCUGAAUGGGAUUAAAGAUUUAUCGGUGAUGGAUGGGGAUGCGUCUGAUUAG
RNAcentral lists this ribosomal RNA (238 nucleotides) under uncultured bacterium. RNAcentral's name for it is "partial 16S ribosomal RNA". It matches the Rfam family "Bacterial small subunit ribosomal RNA", at positions 17 to 244 of the family's 1533-position model. The record is from RNAcentral.